AACGAACGCUGGCGGCAUGCCUAACACAUGCAAGUCGAACGAGACCUUCGGGUCUAGUGGCGCACGGGUGCGUAACGCGUGGGAACCUGCCCUUAGGUUCGGAAUAACUCCCCGAAAGGGGUGCUAAUACCGGAUAAUGUCUUCGGACCAAAGAUUUAUCGCCUUUGGAUGGGCCCGCGUUGGAUUAGCUAGUUGGUAGGGUAAAAGCCUACCAAGGCGACGAUCCAUAGCUGGUCUGAGAGGAUGACCAGCCACACUGGGACUGAGACACGGCCCAGACUCCUACGGGAGGCAGCAGUGGGGAAUAUUGGACAAUGGGCGAAAGCCUGAUCCAGCAAUGGCGCGUGAGUGAUGAAGGCCUUAGGGUUGUAAAGCUCUUUUACCCGGGAUGAUAAUGACAGUACCGGGAGAAUAAGCUCCGGCUAACUCCGUG
This 433-nucleotide ribosomal RNA is filed under the name uncultured bacterium. RNAcentral's name for it is "partial 16S ribosomal RNA". It matches the Rfam family "Bacterial small subunit ribosomal RNA", at positions 29 to 507 of the family's 1533-position model. The record is from RNAcentral.